CACGGGGCGCAGCAGGCGCGAAACCUCCGCAAUGCACGCAAGUGCGACGGGGGAACCCCAAGUGCCACUCUUAACGGGGUGGCUUCUCGAGAAGAAAAAGCUCUGAGUAAGACAGCCGG
This 119-nucleotide ribosomal RNA is filed under the name uncultured archaeon. RNAcentral describes it as "partial 16S ribosomal RNA". It matches the Rfam family "Archaeal small subunit ribosomal RNA", at positions 324 to 458 of the family's 1478-position model. The record is from RNAcentral.